CCCGGAGAACCGCACCCGCCAUCCAAGUGACAGAGGUCAGCCCAGGACUGGGAGAGCUUGGAGGAGGGGCCGCCUACCUAGAGAGAACAGGGGCCGUUCCUCGGGGCACGACGCUGGCUCCUGCACAGAUCCUGCUCCUUUGUGGCCUUCCUGGGCUGCCCUCCCCUCCUCCAGGACUGGUGAGCCGGGAGGCUGCCCUAACCCUCUGGUCUCAGACCCCUGCUCCCAGCCCCACCCCUGCUUCCU
RNAcentral lists this long non-coding RNA (246 nucleotides) under Macaca fascicularis (crab-eating macaque). RNAcentral describes it as "lncRNA (ENSMFAG00000056101.1)". The record is from RNAcentral. Lineage: Eukaryota; Metazoa; Chordata; Mammalia; Primates; Cercopithecidae.